Molecule: non-coding RNA, 529 nt
Organism: Paramuricea clavata
Lineage: Eukaryota; Metazoa; Cnidaria; Anthozoa; Malacalcyonacea; Plexauridae
Source: the annotation of a GenBank genome assembly
AUUCAUUGAUUAAAUUAUAAAUCGUGCAUUCUUAUAUCAGGAAAAAGUUAUUUCGCUGACCUCAGAAUGACAUUUCGUCAAAACGUUUUUCUUCACGAUUGGUUCAGAAACACACUUGGAGUAGGGUUAGGUACGAUCAGGGUUAGGGUUAGAUCAGAGUUGCUGUUUGAAAUACGGUUAGUGUUAAUAAGACCGUUGCUUUGUUACGAUUUGUCACUCCGAGGCCAGCGAAAUAACUUCUUCCUUUACUUAUUAAUGUAUAUGUUCCCCUGAAGACUAAGGACGAUGGGUGAUGGGUGAUGAGCCAAGUUCUAAUCAAUUCCAUAUUCCCAGCUUAUUCUUUAAUAAAAUUUUCUUCAAGACCACUUGGUUCUGUUGCGACUGUUUUGCUACGUCGUACCAUAGACUACUGUAUAUGCGUGCAUUUAAGCUCGAUUCAACUCGCAUCUCUCGCCUCUUAACUUUCAUCAAUCCUGCUUUUGUGAAGUUGAAAUGCUGGUGUGACCCAACGUCCACAAGAACACUGUUC